Molecule: microRNA precursor, 61 nt
Filed under: Pristionchus pacificus
Lineage: Eukaryota; Metazoa; Nematoda; Chromadorea; Rhabditida; Neodiplogasteridae
Description: mir-8364 microRNA precursor family
Rfam family: mir-8364 microRNA precursor family
Source: Rfam by way of RNAcentral
UCUUCAUUCUUCGCACUCUCUCACCGGUCAGAGAUGCGAGAGAGUGUGUGAAAUGAAGAAA